RNAcentral lists this ribosomal RNA (1044 nucleotides) under Clostridioides difficile. RNAcentral describes it as "partial 23S ribosomal RNA". It matches the Rfam family "Bacterial large subunit ribosomal RNA", at positions 390 to 1444 of the family's 2925-position model. The record is from RNAcentral. Lineage: Bacteria; Bacillati; Bacillota; Clostridia; Peptostreptococcales; Peptostreptococcaceae.
AAGACUUCAGAUAUGAUCCAGAGUACCACGGGACACGUGAAACCCUGUGGGAAGCAGGAGGGACCACCCUCCAAGGCUAAAUACUACCUAGUGACCGAUAGCGUAUAGUACCGUGAGGGAAAGGUGAAAAGAACCCCGGGAGGGGAGUGAAAUAGAACCUGAAACCCUGCACUUACAAGCUGUGGAAGCACAUUUCUUGUGUGACCGCGUACUUUUUGUAGAACGGGCCAACGAGUUACGUUAAGUAGCAAGGUUAAGCACUUAAGGUGUGGAGCCGUAGCGAAAGCGAGUUUUAACUGAGCGUUCAGUUACUUGACGUAGACCCGAAACCGGGCGACCUACCCAUGAGCAGGAUGAAGCGAAAGUAAAAUUUCGUGGAGGUCCGAACCCACGAGCGUUGAAAAGCUCGGGGAUGACUUGUGGGUAGCGGUGAAAUUCCAAUCGAGCCCGGAGAUAGCUGGUUCUCCCCGAAAUAGCUUUAGGGCUAGCCUCAAGGUGAGAGAUACGGAGGUAGAGCACUGAAUGUCCUAGGGGGUAUUGCACCUACCGAAGACUAUCAAACUCCGAAUGCCGUCAUCUUAUACUUGGGAGUCAGACUGUGGGUGAUAAGAUUCAUAGUCGAAAGGGCAACAGCCCAGAUCGUCAGCUAAGGUCCCUAAAUGUAAGUUAAGUGGUAAAGGAUGUGGGAUUGCACAGACAACCAGGAUGUUGGCUUAGAAGCAGCCACUCAUUCAAAGAGUGCGUAAUAGCUCACUGGUCGAGUGAUCCUGCGCCGAAGAUUUCCGGGGCUAAAACUUACUACCGAAGCUACGGCAUCAGUAAUGAUGGGUAGGGGAGCUUCCCAUACGGGUUGAAGCAUGACCGUAAGGACAUGUGGACAGUAUGGGAGUGAGAAUGUUGGCAUGAGUAGCGAGAUGUGGGUGAGAAUCCCACAGGCCGUAAACCCAAGGUUUCCAGGGGAAGGUUCGUCCGCCCUGGGUUAGUCGGGACCUAAGCUGAGGCCGAAAGGCGUAGGUGAUGGACAACAGGUUGAUAUUCCUGUAC